RNAcentral lists this ribosomal RNA (554 nucleotides) under uncultured bacterium. RNAcentral's name for it is "partial 16S ribosomal RNA". It matches the Rfam family "Bacterial small subunit ribosomal RNA", at positions 355 to 900 of the family's 1533-position model. The record is from RNAcentral.
UAGGGAAUCUUCCACAAUGGACGCAAGUCUGAUGGAGCAACGCCGCGUGAGUGAAGAAGGUUUUCGGACCGUAAAGCUCUGUUGUUGGUGAAGAAGGAUAGAGGUAGUAACUGGCCUUUAUUUGACGGUAAUCAACCAGAAAGUCACGGCUAACUACGUGCCAGCAGCCGCGGUAAUACGUAGGUGGCAAGCGUUGUCCGGAUUUAUUGGGCGUAAAGCGAGCGCAGGCGGAAGAAUAAGUCUGAUGUGAAAGCCCUCGGCUUAACCGAGGAAUUGCAUCGGAAACUGUUUUCUUGAGUGCAGAAGAGGAGAGUAGAACUCCAUGUGUAGCGGUGGAAUGCGUAGAUAUAUGGAGGAACACCGGUGGCGAAAGCGGCUCUCUGGUCUGUAACUGACGCUGAGGCUCGAAAGCAUGGGUAGCGAACAGGAUUAGAUACCCUGGUAGUCCAUGCCGUAAACGAUGAGUGCUAAGUGUUGGGAGGCUUCCGCCUCUCAGUGCUGCAGCUAACGCAUUAAGCACUCCGCCUGGGGGAGUACGACCGCAAGGUUGAAAC